AUGCACGACUCGCUGCCGCAGGCGGAAUUUACACGGAUGGUGGUGACCCUAUGGGCAGUUUUUAUGUUAGACAAAGGAGUUAGGGGAGGACCGAAGCGAGCCAACCUCAGGCAAUCUGCGUGGUUAGCCCCGCCCGAGGGCCAUGCAAAGAUGAAUGUGGACGCGGCAGUGUCCAUGCAAGGGGAGUGUGGUGCAGCGGGAGUGGUACGCCGAGACUGCAAUGGAAGAUUCUUGGGUGCUUUGGCUCUAAAACUCGAGUUCAUCACUGAUGCAAGUACACUGGAGGCGAUAGUUGUACGGGAAGGUCAAGCUCUGGCUGAGGAUCUAUAUGACUAUUCUAUUCAGAUUGCAACAGACUAUAAGAGGGUAGUAGAUGAUGUCCAGAAGAACUCGGCGGCUGGGUAUGGAGCUAUAGUGCAUGAGAUAAUACUUCGUGCAAACUCUUUUAUUUCAUGUAAAGGUUUGGCCGCCAUGUGUGGCUGGGCCAGCCAGGAGAUCAUGAUUUUCUACCUGUAA
This 516-nucleotide ribosomal RNA is filed under the name Triticum aestivum (bread wheat). RNAcentral describes it as "partial small subunit ribosomal RNA". Lineage: Eukaryota; Viridiplantae; Streptophyta; Magnoliopsida; Poales; Poaceae. The record is from RNAcentral.